AUGUCGUCGAGAGCGCCGCCGGUGGAGCUCGACUUCCUCGGCCUCCGCGCCGCCGCCCCCAGCGAACAACACGGCAAGAGCACCGGCUCCUCCUCCUUGUCGUCCAUCCGAGGGAUGGAGACGAGCGCUAUAGCGAGGAUAGACCCCCAGCUCCUGCGCCGCGUCGUCGUCGCCCGCUCGCCGGCGACGACGGAAGAGGCGCCGGCGGCUCCCAGUCCCAUGACGGUCUUCUACAACGGCUCCGUUGCCAUCUUCGAUGUCUCCCACCACAAGGCAGAAGCUAUAAUGCAGAUGGCAAGGGACGUAACUAUGGCAGAAAGGCGCGACCUCGGCAACAAUACACCUGUUGGAAAUUCAAGCAAAGACAUACCAUUGGCAAGAACAAAAUCGUUACAGCAGUUCCUAGUGAAGCGUAAAGAGAGGUUGACCCGCAUGGGUCCAUACCAUCCCGGCGCCACCACCGUCAGCACCAACUCUCUUGGUGUGAAGAAGGAAGCGGAAGCAGCCUAG
RNAcentral lists this ribosomal RNA (510 nucleotides) under Triticum aestivum (bread wheat). RNAcentral's name for it is "partial small subunit ribosomal RNA". Lineage: Eukaryota; Viridiplantae; Streptophyta; Magnoliopsida; Poales; Poaceae. The record is from RNAcentral.